RNAcentral lists this ribosomal RNA (171 nucleotides) under uncultured bacterium. RNAcentral's name for it is "partial 16S ribosomal RNA". The record is from RNAcentral.
CACGCCCUAAACGAUGUCAACUGGUUGUUGGGUCUUCACUGACUCAGUAACGAAGCUAACGCGUGAAGUUGACCGCCUGGGGAGUNACGCGAAAAACCUUACCCACCUUUGACAUGUACGGAAUUUGCCAGAGAUGGCUUAGUGCUCGAAAGAGAACCGUAACACAGGUGC